This 305-nucleotide ribosomal RNA is filed under the name uncultured bacterium. Its description in RNAcentral is "bacterial SSU rRNA". It matches the Rfam family "Bacterial small subunit ribosomal RNA", at positions 336 to 639 of the family's 1533-position model. The record is from RNAcentral.
UUCCUACGGGAGGCAGCAGUGAGGAAUAUUGGUCAAUGGACGCAAGUCUGAACCAGCCAUGCCGCGUGCAGGAUGACGGCUCUAUUAGUUGUAAACUGCUUUUGUACGAGGGUAAACCCCGAUACGUGUAUCGGGUUGAAAGUAUCGUACGAAUAAGGAUCGGCUAACUCCGUGCCAGCAGCCGCGGUAAUACGGAGGAUCCGAGCGUUAUCCGGAUUUAUUGGGUUUAAAGGGUGCGUAGGCGGAUUUUUAAGUCAGCGGUAAAAUGUCCGGGCUCAACCCGGGCCGGCCGUUGAAACUGGGGG